AAAUGAAGCAUUUGUAAAGGUUUGUUAACACAAACUUUAAGUCAAAAUAGAUUUGGAGACACUUGGCAAGUUAAUUUACAACUUUCCCACCAGAUGACGUACAAGUCAACCCCAAAGUGAACUCAGUUUCGGGGAACGAUUUGGUUGAAGUCAAUGCGAGCAUGUUUAAUAGUCUCACAUACCACUAAGCUAGAUCUUGAUGAGAAUAAAAUCACUAAGAUGGAAGAUUAUUCUUUUUUCUAAUUUAGCUGCUAAUUGUAAGAUUUGAAAUGUUUACUUAUAUGUAAA
Molecule: long non-coding RNA, 288 nt
Organism: Zophobas morio
Lineage: Eukaryota; Metazoa; Arthropoda; Insecta; Coleoptera; Tenebrionidae
Exons: 4
Source: RefSeq, a predicted model, not a curated record